RNAcentral lists this ribosomal RNA (518 nucleotides) under uncultured bacterium. RNAcentral's name for it is "bacterial SSU rRNA". It matches the Rfam family "Bacterial small subunit ribosomal RNA", at positions 8 to 518 of the family's 1533-position model. The record is from RNAcentral.
AGAGUUGAUCCUGGCUCAGAACGAACGCUGGCGGCGCGUUUAAGCAUGCAAGUCGAGCGGCAAGGGCCUUCGGGCCCCUAGAGCGGCGGACGGGUGAGUAACACGUGGACAAUCUGCCCCCCGGCCCGGGAUAGCCCAGGGAAACCUGGAUUAAUACCGGAUGAGACGGGACCCGCGAAGGCGGGACCCGGGAAAGGCGCUGCGGCGCCGCCGGGGGAUGAGUCUGCGUCCCAUUAGCUAGACGGCGGGGUAACGGCCCACCGUGGCGACGAUGGGUAGCCGGCCUGAGAGGGUGGACGGCCACAUUGGAACUGAGACACGGUCCAGACUCCUACGGGAGGCAGCAGCUAAGAAUCUUCCGCAAUGGGCGAAAGCCUGACGGAGCGACGCCGCGUGAACGAAGAAGGCCGUGAGGUUGUAAAGUUCUCUUCGGGAGGGGGAACAACCGUGGCAGGGAAUGGCCGCGGGAUGACGUGAAUCCCGGAAUAAGCCCCGGCUAACUACGUGCCAGCCGCAGC